UUGGUUAAGUUAGAAAGGGCGCACGGUGGAUGCCUUGGCACUAGGAGCCGAAGAAGGACGGGACUAACACCGAUAUGCUUUGGGGAGCUGUACGUAAGCGUUGAUCCAGAGAUUUCCGAAUGGGGGAACCCACUAUCUUUAGUCGGAUAGUAUCCUUACGUGAAUACAUAGCGUGAGGAAGGCAGACCCAGGGAACUGAAACAUCUAAGUACCUGGAGGAAGAGAAAGAAAAAUCGAUUUCCUGAGUAGCGGCGAGCGAAACGGAAAGAGCCCAAACCAAGAAGCUUGCUUCUUGGGGUUGUAGGACACUCUAUACGGAGUUACAAAAGAAAGUUAUAAAUGAAGCGGUCUGGAAAGGCCCGCCAAAGACGGUAACAGCCCGGUAGUUGAAAUGGCUUUCCCUCCAGAGUGGAUCCUGAGUACGGCGGAACACGUGAAAUUCCGUCGGAAUCCGGGAGGACCAUCUCCCAAGGCUAAAUACUCCCUAGUGACCGAUAGUGAACCAGUACCGUGAGGGAAAGGUGAAAAGCACCCCGGAAGGGGAGUGAAACAGUUCCUGAAACCGUGUGCCUACAAGUAGUUAGAGCCCGUUAAUGGGUGAUAGCGUGCCUUUUGUAGAAUGAACCGGCGAGUUACGAUUUGUUGCAAGGUUAAGCGGAAAAAGCGGAGCCGUAGCGAAAGCGAGUCUGAAUAGGGCGCAUAAGUAACAGGUCGUAGACCCGAAACCAGGUGAUCUACCCAUGUCCAGGAUGAAGGUAAGGUAAUACUUACUGGAGGUCCGAACCCACGCACGUUGAAAAGUGCGGGGAUGAGGUGUGGGUAGCGGAGAAAUUCCAAUCGAACUUGGAGAUAGCUGGUUCUCUCCGAAAUAGCUUUAGGGCUAGCCUCGAGGUAAAGAGUCAUGGAGGUAGAGCACUGUUUGGACUAGGGGCCCUUCUCGGGUUACCGAAUUCAGAUAAACUCCGAAUGCCAUGUACUUAUACUCGGGAGUCAGACUGCGAGUGAUAAGAUCCGUAGUCGAAAGGGAAACAGCCCAGACCACCAGUUAAGGUCCCCAAAUAUAUGUUAAGUGGAAAAGGAUGUGGGGUUGCUUAGACAACCAGGAUGUUGGCUUAGAAGCAGCCACCAUUGAAAGAGUGCGUAAUAGCUCACUGGUCGAGUGACCCCGCGCCGAAAAUGUACCGGGGCUAAACAUAUUACCGAAACUGUGGAUGAACCUCUUUAGAG
This 1227-nucleotide ribosomal RNA is filed under the name Listeria monocytogenes. RNAcentral describes it as "partial 23S ribosomal RNA". It matches the Rfam family "Bacterial large subunit ribosomal RNA", at positions 1 to 1220 of the family's 2925-position model. The record is from RNAcentral. Lineage: Bacteria; Bacillati; Bacillota; Bacilli; Caryophanales; Listeriaceae.